GAGGACACCGAUGAGGACGACGACGACGACUCCGGUGAAGAUGAAGACGAAGACAGCUCACUGAUUCAGUUGGUCGCUGAGGUGACCUUAUAUUGAGUCAAGACACGGCAUGCAUUGAAGGUGCGGCUUCGUUUCUUUGCUCAUCAUCUUGGACGACUCGCUCUGCACCAGCCACCAUCCUCAUGUCGGCUCACAUUGGCAGUUGCAGUUUCAAAGGAAUUAAAACAACUUAAGAAAAUCCCAGUAUUUUUUGCACUCGUUCAUUUCACCUGUGCUCAAAAGUUCUACCAUUGUUAAGUCGUAUAGCCCACAAAAGAAGCGCUCUUGCGCAAAUGUGUGGCAUGCCUUGUGUCACCGUAGCG
Non-coding RNA from Dermacentor andersoni, 362 nucleotides. Lineage: Eukaryota; Metazoa; Arthropoda; Arachnida; Ixodida; Ixodidae. The record is from RefSeq and is a predicted model, not a curated record.